This 486-nucleotide ribosomal RNA is filed under the name uncultured bacterium. RNAcentral describes it as "partial 16S ribosomal RNA". It matches the Rfam family "Bacterial small subunit ribosomal RNA", at positions 28 to 507 of the family's 1533-position model. The record is from RNAcentral.
GAUGAACGCUGGCGGCGUGCCUAAUACAUGCAAGUCGAACGCUGGAAAUCUAGCUUGCUAGCUUGAAGGAGUGGCGAACGGGUGAGUAAUACAUAAGCAACCUACCCACGAAGACUGGGAUAAUCUCUGGAAACGGGGACUAAUACCGGAUAGGUAAUCGGAAGGCAUCUUCUGAUUAUUAAAGGUUAAAAACACUGGUGGAUGGGCUUAUGGCGCAUUAGUUAGUUGGUGAGGUAACGGCCCACCAAGACGAUGAUGCGUAGCCGGCCUGAGAGGGUGAACGGCCACAUUGGGACUGAGGCACGGCCCAGACUCCUACGGGAGGCAGCAGUAGGGAAUUUUCGGCAAUGGGGGAAACCCUGACCGAGCAACGCCGCGUGAGUGAUGACGGCCUUCGGGGUGUAAAGCUCUGUUGUAAGGGAAGAACGGUAGAUAGAGAAUAUCUAAAUGACGGUACCUUACCAGAAAGCCACGGCUAACUACGUG